This 497-nucleotide ribosomal RNA is filed under the name uncultured bacterium. Its description in RNAcentral is "partial 16S ribosomal RNA". It matches the Rfam family "Bacterial small subunit ribosomal RNA", at positions 28 to 507 of the family's 1533-position model. The record is from RNAcentral.
GAUGAACGCUGGCAGCAUGCCUAAUACAUGCAAGUCGAGUGAACAUAUGGGGAGCUUGCUGCACUGACGUUUGCGGCGGACGGGUCUUUAACACGUGAAUAGCCUACCUAUAGGACUCGGAUAAUUUCAGCAGACCUGAUGUAAUUCCGGCAACUAUAGUUAACCGCAUGUUUAAAUAGUGAAAGACGGUUUUGCUGUCACUUAUAGAUUUAUCCGCGCCGCAUUAGCUAGUUGGUAAGGUAACGUCUUAACAAGGCAACGAUGCGUAGCCGACCUGAGAGGAUGAUCAGCCACACUGAAACUGAGAUCCGGUACAGGGUCAUACGGGAGGCAGCAGUAGGGAAUCGUCCGGCAUGGGCGAAAGCCAGACGGAGCAACGCCAAGUGAGUGAUGAAGGUAUUCGGAGUGUAAGACUCUGUUAUUAGGGAAGAAAAAAUGUGUAAGUAACUAUGAAAGUAUUGACGGUACCUAAUCAGAAAGCCACGGCUAACUACGUG